Molecule: long non-coding RNA, 1865 nt
Organism: Carassius gibelio (silver crucian carp)
Lineage: Eukaryota; Metazoa; Chordata; Actinopteri; Cypriniformes; Cyprinidae
Exons: 3
Source: RefSeq, a predicted model, not a curated record
UCUGAGCACUUUUACAUUUUUGUGUAUACCGGUAACUAGUGUUGCAAAAGGGCGGAAAAGUUCCAUUAACUUUCCAUUGGAGUUUUUGGAAAUAUCUCCAGUUGGAAACGAAAUGGGAAUUAAAAUGAAUUAAUUGGAUUAUUUAUUUAAAUAGUAUCGUACAUAAACAUAGAUAAAAACAUUUUGUUUGGUUAUAAGCUGACAUGCAUGGAAAAAAUCUUUCAUUUUUUACUUUAAUGAUAUGGAGGAUGCACAGUGUGUGCAGGGCGUGUGGACUCACACAACUUUUUUACAACUACAAUGAAGUGCACUUACAUGCUAACUUACAAAUUUCCAGUUUCACUCAUUGCUAAUCCAUUCAUUGACAGCAGUGUCUGUUAAUUGUUGUUCAACUGUUCUUUGUUUCCUUAUGUGCUCUAGGUAUAUGUGGAAGACCUUCCAUUAAUGUUUCAAAGCAGCAAAUAGAGUUUCUAAUGAAACAAGGACACACCGUUAAGCAGAUGGCCAAGAUUCUUGGUUGCUUGACUUCAUUUAUUUAUAGGAAAACCAAACUGUUCGGAAUUCCUAUACGAAAACUGCAAACACAAAUGACCGAGGAAGAACUUACACAGCAUGUGAGAAGACUUCACAGUCUCUAUCCCAACACAGGAAGUGAGAUCAUGAGAGGACUGCUACUUGCAGAAGGGCUGUUUGUCCAGCGACGUAGGGUCUGAGAAGCUCUUACCCAAAUCGAUCCAACUGCAGCUGCACGCAGAUGGAGUAGUGCCAUCGCCAGGAGAGUCUACCAUGUUCCUCAUCCAAACAGUUUAUGGCACAUAGACGGAAAUAUGCAUUUGAUUAGGUGGGGCUUUGUUGUUCAUGGAGCCAUCGAUGGGAAAUCUCGCCUUAUAACCUACUUGAGCUGCAACACAAAUAACCGUGCCUCCACCGUGCUGACCCAGUUUGUGAAGGCAACAUGUCUUUAUGGGCUUCCGUCACGAGUGCGAUCAGACCAUGGGGGUGAAAAUUCACGAAUUGCCCUAUUCAUGAAUCUCGUUCAAGGGGUGGAACGGAGGAGUCACAUAACAGGAGAAUCUGUUCACAAUCAGCGGAUAGAGCGCCUUUGGAGAGAUGUUUUCCUCCAUGUGCUUCAGUACUUCUACAAUUUGUUCCACAGUCUAGAGGAUUCUGAGGUCCUUGAUCCAGAUGAUGACGUCCACAAGAUGUCCCUGCAAAUCGUUUUCCUGCCGGAGAUACAAAAGAGAUUGGAUCUGUUUAGGAAUGGAUGGAAUCACCACAAAAUGAGAACAGAAAACAACAAAACACCGGUCCAAAUCUGGACUGCAGGAAUGCUUUCCAACAUGGAGGCAAACUGCAGAGCCAUCAGCAAUGUUUUUGGUGAAGAUCCGUACAGCACACACACUCUAGAAGAGCUUUUGGCACAACAUGGCAUAGACAACUUCCCUGUGACUGAUGACGAAGAUCAUUUUCCAGCUGUAGUUGUGGAACAACCCAGAAUCAAUCUGAGCCAUCAGCAGCAGCAAAAUAUUUAGCAGACAAUUGAGACCAUCUCAGACGCUAACAAUAAGUAUCAGACGUGUUGCAGAGAAAUUGCAAACAUAUUACAAGAUGGCUGAUACACAUCAUUUUGGUACAGUGUGUUUGUUCUUGCUACACGCCCUCAAGAGUUCAUGUUAAGCCCAAACUUUUCCUUAAUGUCAUACUUAGAACUUCUUGUAGUAUAUAAGCUGACAGGCAAACAUGCAUUCAUUUGUAGUUUAAACAUCACCUUCCACAUUGCUUCAGAAAAAGGUUGAUGUAUUCUGGCGUGCUAAUCAUCUCAAAGGAAUUAUGUAAGAUUUUCCUAAUAAAAUAUCCAAAAUGUG